Molecule: ribosomal RNA, 498 nt
Filed under: uncultured bacterium
Lineage: Bacteria
Description: partial 16S ribosomal RNA
Rfam family: Bacterial small subunit ribosomal RNA
Source: RNAcentral
AUUGAACGCUGGCGGCAUGCCUUACACAUGCAAGUCGAACGGUAACAGGUCUUCGGAUGCUGACGAGUGGCGAACGGGUGAGUAAUACAUCGGAACGUGCCUAGUAGUGGGGGAUAACUACUCGAAAGAGUGGCUAAUACCGCAUGAGAUCUACGGAUGAAAGCAGGGGAUCGCAAGACCUUGUGCUACUAGAGCGGACGAUGGCAGAUUAGGUAGUUGGUGGGAUAAAAGCUUACCAAGCCGACGAUCUGUAGCUGGUCUGAGAGGACGAUCAGCCACACAGGGACUGAGAGACGGCCCAGACUCCUACGGGAGUCAGCAGGGGGGAAUGUUGGACAAUGGGCGCAAGCCUGCUCCAGCAAUGCCGCGUGCAGGAUGAAGGCCUUCGGGUUGUAAACCGCUUUUGUACGGAACGAAAAGCCCCGGGUUAAUACCCUGGGGUCAUGACGGUACCGUAAGAAUAAGCACCGGCUAACUACGUGCCAGCCGCCGCCGUAA